This 227-nucleotide long non-coding RNA is filed under the name Nicotiana benthamiana. Its description in RNAcentral is "long non-coding RNA (NBEN_LNC015218)". Lineage: Eukaryota; Viridiplantae; Streptophyta; Magnoliopsida; Solanales; Solanaceae. The record is from RNAcentral.
CCACUUCAACUACAACAGCAAGGGCGAAAUAGCCCCGUCUAUCAUGACUUGCUCCGCUAUUUUCGGAAUGGGGGAGACUAGGUGAGGGGUGAACCUUUUUGUUGUCUUCGUCCAUCUUUUUUUCUCCCAUGCUUUCCGUUGGUCAACAACCAACCAAAGUGCUUUUCGGAAUGGGGGAGACUAGGUGAGGGGUGAACCUUUUUGUUGUCUUCGUCCAUCUUUUUUUC